This 3399-nucleotide unclassified non-coding RNA is filed under the name Hevea brasiliensis (rubber tree). The record is from RNAcentral. Lineage: Eukaryota; Viridiplantae; Streptophyta; Magnoliopsida; Malpighiales; Euphorbiaceae.
CCAAAAAGAGAAUGCUUUAACUCAUUACUAUAAAGAGGCAGGCACCUCUUUCCACAGUUCCAUCCAUUUUCAAACUGUGUCUCUCACUUCACAAAAGACAAGUGCUCACAACAAAACUAAAUGAACCAUGUUCUAUAACUCAAUUUUCUUGCUUUUAUCAGAUUCAACUGGUUGAUCAAAUUACUCAACACAAAUACGAACAGAAGCAUGUUACAGGCCACUUCUGAGUUUAACCUUUCCAAGCCCCUACUUCAGUGAUGAAUUCUAAACCUGAGGCUGAACCAUUCGCUUGAAAAACAACACCUGUCCCAAGUAAUCAAAUGUCUGCAACACUUGCCAUGUAGAACACAGUUAUUUGUACAUGUCAGAAAUGACUGUUAUAUAAUUCAGAAACGAAGCAGAAACGGACAUCAUAUGCAUUAUUCAAUAUUCAUGGCUCAGUCGACUAAUUACAAAUACAGAAGCUUACUAUUUCAAUGUUUGCCAACUUGAAUAUAUAUUUCUAUUCCUUUCUUAUUAUUGCUUUAUGUGCAUACAUGCUGGACAAUUGAGCAGCAGAGCUCACGCCCAAGAUUUAUGUUUGAUGACCAAAUUGAGCCACGUUACUUUCAAUUUCCCUGAUGUCCAUUUUAUAUACCAUUGCCCUUAUCAUCUGCUCCAUGUGAAAAAUGGGAUUUGAGUCCAAUCCAACACUGGUAAUAAUCACGAUCCACAAAUGGGGACUCAACUGCCCACAGGCAGAUUCUGGGGAUUAAACAUGAUUCAAACAUGAAAGCCAUUGUAUUGGUGAUUUUAUAUGGGACUGCAUCAUUCCCGCGUCCAAUGGUAGUCUGUGAAGCAAAUACAGUGUUUUUAGAUCAUGACAGUUUGCUGAAUUGUUAGACAGUUAAACAUUUUGAAAUGCAGCAGCGUAUGGACAUUGAAAUGAGAGAUACUUCUUAAAAUUUAUACUAAUCACACAAAAGAAACUAUUGAUUUAGAUUAGCACCACACCCCAAGAAAAUCAUUUAGCAAUAUGAGGUUUCUACUGAAUUCAUCCAUCGUCUGAGAACCUCAUAUGUCUUCGUAUCAGGACCAUGUGGAGUCAUGCAGCUAUGAAGACUUGCACCACCUGGGAGGAAACCAUCAGCUUUUGCCUCGUAUGCACCAUAAAUCAGGCCCAUAAAUUCACUCAUACAAUUGCGAUGGUAAUAUGGAGGUCGGAAAGUAUGCUCGGCAACCAACCAUCGGGGAGGAAAAAUGACAAAAUCAAGCAAUGCCACUCCAGGCUUAUCAGUUGGUGCUGUCAGAACUGUGUUUAUUGAUGGAUCACUAUGAUCAAUCAAAACAGUAUUAUAGGGGCAAAACUUUUUGAGAUCAUAUUUAUAUGGAACAUAAUUACCAUGCCAGGCAACUACAUUGAAGGGAGAAAAAUCCUGUUUUGCAGUAAAUAGUUCUCCACCAAACUUUUGUAUGAUAGUGUAUCCAGGACAAGAACCCUCCUCAAACCAGGCCUUGGGAACAAGAAAAUCCCUUGAAGCAGCAAGGCCAUUAGCACCUAUUGGCCCAAGAUCAGGAAGCUGAAAAUGGGCACCAAAAAUCUCAGCAACAUAACCACGUGACGGGCCAUCUGGCAAAUCUACAGCAAAACGGAACCCUUGAGGUAAUACAACAAUUUCACCAGGAGAGACUUGCAGCUUUCCACAUUCGGUAGUUAUCCAUAACCCUGUACAACUAGGGAAGAGUAUCAGUAAUAAUAUCUCAAGUUUUUAAUUCUCAAGCAUGUCUUGGUAAAUAAUGCAUUACACAUGCACAAGGAGAAAUUAGAAAAACAAAGUUCCAGUAACACAUGAGAUAUAAGAAGCUAUCAGAUUCUGAGUAAGCAACACAAGUAACUAAUGAGGACACAGAAAUUGACACUCUUGUGAUUUGGAAAUUUAAUACAGUGUUUGCACACCAAAACACAAUAGAAGGUAAAGCUUGCACAAGAAUUGAGGAAUUUAUUAGCAAUAUCAUUUCAACUUGCUUGGGCAUGUUAUCAUGUUAGCAUAAGAAUUUAGAAAUCUUUUGGCAUCAAACGCAUAUAGAAGUAUGUUGAGGUGGCUUCAACUUGGCAUGUUAACAUGCCCAGCCAAGUUGAAUCUAAAGCCUUCCAACCCAUUUUGAUCCUCUUCCUUCAAAAUGGCAGCAUGUUUGGAAAUUAGGCAGCUUUGAUUGGACCUUAGUCAAUAAGUCUAAUUCCCAACCUUCCCAUUCUUGUAAGCAUGCCAAUUUAGCACCAAUUCAGCAUAAACAAACAUCUCAAGGUAUGAUUCCUACACCUGAAUGCAAUUGCUACCAAUUACAAAUUAUCAGAUAAAAUUGAAAAUUUUCUCCAAGUUAAGGAUUUAUGGGACCAAUACCCCUUACCAGUAUUAGAGCUUUACACACCAUAGUCAACAAAGUUCUUUUAACAGAAAACAGAACAAGAACAUUUAGCUAUUUCAACUCCAGACUCCAGAGUCUCAAGAGUUUUAGCCAAUGGUAAAUUCAAUCAUUGUCCUCCUACAAUUAUCCACUACUUCACAAAUAUACCAAUCCAUACAAAGGUGACUUUGUUUUAUCUAUUAAAAACAUGAACCAAACAAGAAAUCUGUUCACUCUGCACCAAUUAAGAACAUGCUAAUCUUCAUUGUUCAUACCAUAUUUCUUAAAAAUUUAAACCAAAUGUAACGAACUAAAAAUUCGCUGUUGAAUCGGAAAAUAAUGACUGCCAAGUCACUCACUUCCUUGUUGGGGAACUAUCAAGAAGUCACCAUCAGCGUUGCAGAAAGCACAGUUGUCCAUUGAUUUGUUAGCUGUGUACAUGUGAAUAGCAUAUCCAUGGCGAAGAAAGGAGCUACCAGCCCCACAAACUGUGUAGAACCCAUCAACAAAAUCAGUUGGGGAGUCGGGGAUAUCCACAGGCUUCCACCGUAGCUGAGUAGGCGUUGUACAACUGUUUGUCUUGUCAAAUUCGCUCACUAUCUUCCCAUGACUUGGAACCCGUGGCAUAAAUGGCUCAUGGGUAACCGAUGGUUUAAUUCGAUAUAGCCAACUGCGUUGAUUAAGCUUGCGAGGAGAAGUGAAAGAGGACCCAGAGAUCUGCUCAGCAUAAAGACCAUAAGGACACACGAGCGGGCUAUUCUGGCCAGCAGGCAAAGCUCCAGGGAUGGCCUCAGACUCGAAGCUGUUGGCAAAUCCUGAUUGGUAAUCGCAGUCAUCAAAGGGGAAAUAACAGCCAUCGGAUUUUGUGACGACUUGUUGGUGGCGGUGAAAGUUUGUGUUCUCCGUGAUUGUUUGAGUAUUCUCCAUGAUUGAGCGAGUAAAGGAAAUGGUGAAUCUGGUAGGUGUUGAUGAGAAAGAUAUACGAAAGAUGGCGAAGAGAGAAAAUGGAGGAGG